This 167-nucleotide small RNA is filed under the name pig gut metagenome. Its description in RNAcentral is "Bacteroidales-1 6S-Bacteroidales RNA suggested". It matches the Rfam family "Bacteroidales-1 6S-Bacteroidales RNA suggested". The record is from RNAcentral.
GUAGAUUGGGAAACUCAUCAAAUAUUAUUGAAAUGCCGAGACAAGUUUUUGUUUCAAUGGCGGGCCCCAACCUUUAUGGUGUUAUUCUUAACCAGGCGGAUUACAAAGAAGCAAGAACCCUCAAAUCCUGUCUUCCGGAGUUUCAACGCACUCUUUGAUGUGGUAUU